UGACAAGAAGGAUAUGAUCGCUAUAUUGGAGAUGGUAAAUGGAAAAUAUACAUUAUUAGUACUUUCUAAUGUGUUUACAUAGAAACAUAAAGCCGGAUAAUUACAAAUCAAAAACGACCUGAAUCAAUGUAUGAUGUAGCACGUUUGGCCCUAAGACCAUCUUUAUCGCUAGGUCCUAAGUGAGUUUUUAAAUAAAAUAGUCCAUUUAUUUAAACCAAAACAAAAUAAAAAUGGGCUUACCGAUCCUUAACUAAGGUUUUCUGGGACCGGUUUUGAAGUGGGUUUUUCCACCACGUGUCAGCAAAAAAAGACACAAGACUUUUUUUUUCUUUUUUCUUUUCUUUUCUCUUUUGUUUCCUCGUCUUCUCCGUCGAAACUUCUCAACUCUUCCCAUACCGAAGACGAGGAAGUUGGCUGGAGCUAGCUCUUUCAAGACGUUGAAGGAGAUCGAGAUCUCGUGGAUGUUUUGUUGUGGGGUUAUGGUGAAGGUCGCGUAGUGGACGAUGGCUUGGAGCUGGAUCGGUGUCGCUGAGUAAUCAGCCGCUGCGGCCACCGAUCGGCUUUUGGCGCUUGCGGUGGAGCAGAUGAAGAAUGCGUCGUCGGCUUCACCAAUUCUUAAAGAGAAAUUGAAGCUUAAAGCAGCAAGUGAAUACAAUUAUUUGAACCAGAGCAACUGCUUAACAAUUGAUCGCAUUGAUGAUUCUCAGAAAUUUCACAAAUUGAUGGUAACUCCUUAUGUUUCCUGGACUAAUGAUGCUUAUUAUUUUCCUCUUGCUUAUUGCAGCUGUCACUAACGUAGCUAUGUUAAUGGGAUGCGACUGAAAAGAGCUUAUGGUGGUUUUGUCUACAUGCAAGCUCCAAGCUGGUAGAGAUUGCAUUGUUAAAAGACUGACACUGCCACAGGCGACUGAUAUGAGGGAU
Molecule: long non-coding RNA, 921 nt
Organism: Brassica rapa (field mustard)
Lineage: Eukaryota; Viridiplantae; Streptophyta; Magnoliopsida; Brassicales; Brassicaceae
Source: RefSeq, a predicted model, not a curated record